AUAAAGUGUUCAAGCAGGCAGAAUUUAUCAUCUGCCACCGAAUACAUUAGCAUGGGAUAAUGGAAUAGGACCCUGUCCUCCUAUUUUUACGUGUGUUGGUUUUCGAGGACCAGGGUAAUGAUUAAUAGGGAUAGUUGGGGGCAUUAAUAUUUAAUUGUCAGAGGUGAAAUUCUUGGAUUUAUGAAAGAUUAACUUCUGCGAAAGCAUCUGCCAAGGAUGUUUUCAUUAAUCAAGAACGAAAGUUAGGGGAUCGAAGACGAUCAGAUACCGUCGUAGUCUUAACCAUAAACGAUGCCGACCAGCGAUUAGGAGACGUUGAAUACAAAACACCACCAUCAGGCGGUCGCCCUUGGCCAACGGGCCGCCGUUCACGCGGCGGUUCUUGGCGGGGGCGGUCCGUUUUCCUGAUGGCCCGGGGAAUGACUCCCCUACAAGUUUGGGAAAA
This 445-nucleotide ribosomal RNA is filed under the name Acanthamoeba castellanii. RNAcentral's name for it is "bacterial SSU rRNA". It matches the Rfam family "Eukaryotic small subunit ribosomal RNA", at positions 766 to 1097 of the family's 1831-position model. Lineage: Eukaryota; Discosea; Longamoebia; Acanthamoebidae. RNAcentral also lists the same sequence under 1 other name. The record is from RNAcentral.